AGAUGGCUAAGCUGUGCCUGCGUUUGAAUUCUCAUAAAUGCUUGCAUACAGGAGCUAGAGACAAAAGAAAUGAUCUUCCUUAGUGGUUCCUAGUGCCAGGUCAGCUGUAUCAGAAUCACCUGGAGCACUGGUUGAAAUGCGGUCCCUGGCUUGGACCUUCUGAAUCAAGACUGCUUGGAGCUGGGCCUGGAGUCUUUCAGAAUCCAGCAGGCUGCAUGAAGACCUGCCCCCUGAUUGACUUGGAGGUGGACAACGGACCUGCGCAGACGGGGACUGUGGUGCCAUCUUUGCUUCAUCAGGACCUGGCAGCCUUGGGAAUCAGUGAUGCUCCUGUUACAGGCACGGUUUCUGGUCAGAAUUGCUGUGAGGAAAAGAGGAAUCCCUCCUCCAGCACGCUGCCAGGCGGUGGUGUUCAGAACCCUUCUGCAGACAGGAAUUUGCUGGACCUCCUCUCACCACAGCCAGCUCCGUGCCCUCUGAAUUAUGUUUCGCAGAAAAGUGUCCCCAAGGAAGUGCCACCAGGUACUAAGUCCUCUCCAGGUUGGUCCUGGGAGGCUGGCCCGUUGGCUCCUUCCCCAUCUUCACAG
Molecule: small RNA, 587 nt
Filed under: Pan troglodytes (chimpanzee)
Lineage: Eukaryota; Metazoa; Chordata; Mammalia; Primates; Hominidae
Description: processed transcript
Source: RNAcentral